RNAcentral lists this transfer RNA (71 nucleotides) under Marmota monax (woodchuck). RNAcentral's name for it is "tRNA.Ala". It matches the Rfam family "tRNA". From Rfam's summary of the family: Transfer RNA (tRNA) molecules are approximately 80 nucleotides in length. Their secondary structure includes four short double-helical elements and three loops (D, anti-codon, and T loops). Lineage: Eukaryota; Metazoa; Chordata; Mammalia; Rodentia; Sciuridae. The record is from RNAcentral.
GGGGUUGUGGCUCAGUGGUAGAGUGCUUGCCUCGCAUGCAUGAGGCAUUGGGUUCAAUCCUCAGUACCACA